CCUACGGGAGGCUGCAGUGAGGAAUAUUGGUCAAUGGGCGGGAGCCUGAACCAGCCAAGCCGCGUGAGGGAAGAAGGUACAGCGUAUCGUAAACCUCUUUUGUCAGGGAACAAAGGCGGGGACUAGUCCCCGGAUGAGGGUACCUGAAGAAAAAGCAUCGGCUAACUCCGUGCCAGCAGCCGCGGUAAUACGGAGGGGGCAAGCGUUAUCCGGAUUUACUGGGUGUAAAGGGGGCGCAGACGGCGAUGCAAGCCAGGAGUGAAAGCCCGGGGCCCAACCCCGGGACUGCUCUUGGAACUGGGUGGCUCGAGUGCAGGAGGGGCAGGCGGAAUUCCUGGUGUAGCGGUGAAAUGCGUAGAUAUCAGGAGGAACACCGGUGGCGAAGGCGGCCUGCUGGACUGCAACUGACGUUGAGGCCCGAAAGCGUGGGUAGCAAACAGGAUUAGAUACCCGAGUAGUC
Molecule: ribosomal RNA, 460 nt
Filed under: uncultured bacterium
Lineage: Bacteria
Description: partial 16S ribosomal RNA
Rfam family: Bacterial small subunit ribosomal RNA
Source: RNAcentral